GUCUCUUCCCGCACGCCCCACACAGAAUUUCGAUUUACCCGAUUAAUUUGGGUAAAAGACUGAAACUUGAGGAAUCUAGAUAGAUUCUGAAGAACCUCAAGAUCAUGGGCAGUUGUUUCGAGCUAGGGAUGUCAAAUCCUUGCCAUGAAGAUGCGUCUAAAUUGGAUAUGGGAAUUGGGCAUUUCGGUUGCUCGCACUAUAGAAGGAGAUGUAAGAUCAGAGCACCCUGUUGUGAUGAGAUAUUUGAUUGCAGGCAUUGCCAUAACGAAUUAAAGAACUCUAUGGAAGCGAAUCCCCUUGAUCGUCAUGACGUCCCUCGCCGCGAAUUGAAAAGGGUCAUAUGUUCCUUGUGUGGCACUGAACAAGAUGUUCAACAGCACUGCAUCCAGUGCGGGGUUUGCAUGGGGAAAUACUUUUGCUCCAAAUGCAACUUCUUUGAUGAUGAUGUUUCUAAGCGGCAGUACCAUUGUGAUGAAUGUGGAAUCUGCAGAACUGGAGGGGAGGAGAAUUUCUUCCACUGUAAUAGAUGUGGAUGUUGCUAUUCAAUCUUAUUGAAGGAUUCACACAAUUGUGUGGAAAGAGCAAUGCAUCACAAUUGCCCUGUUUGCUUUGAGUUUCUAUUUGAUACAACGAAAGACAUUACUGUCUUACCUUGUGGACACACGAUUCAUUUGGAAUGUGUUAAAGAGAUGGAGCGGCAUUUCCAGUAUGCGUGUCCUGUUUGCUCAAAAUCAUAUUGUGAUAUGUCUCGUGUGUGGGAAAAACUAGAUCAAGAGGUUGCUUCAACACCUAUGCCUCAAAUGUAUCAAAAUAAGAUGGUUUGGAUUCUUUGCAAUGACGGUGGGGGAAACAUCAGAAGUGAUUUUCCAUAUUGUAGCACAGAAGUGCCUAAGAUGCAAUUCAUACAAUACAAGACAGACACGAGGAGGUCCCACAUCUUGCACAUCAGGGUUUUCAGAGAUGGUGAGAUGAGUAGCUUCUGAUUAACAUUUAGUUCUUGAAGGCUCUGUUACAAUAAAAAAAAAA
This 1026-nucleotide unclassified non-coding RNA is filed under the name Hevea brasiliensis (rubber tree). The record is from RNAcentral. Lineage: Eukaryota; Viridiplantae; Streptophyta; Magnoliopsida; Malpighiales; Euphorbiaceae.